RNAcentral lists this ribosomal RNA (372 nucleotides) under uncultured organism. RNAcentral describes it as "bacterial SSU rRNA". It matches the Rfam family "Bacterial small subunit ribosomal RNA", at positions 526 to 896 of the family's 1533-position model. The record is from RNAcentral.
CAGAGGGGGCAAGCGUUGUUCGGAAUUACUGGGCGUAAAGGGCACGUAGGCGGCCUGCUAAGUCGAACGUGAAAUCCCUGGGCUCAACCCAGGAACUGCGUCCGAUACUGGUUGGCUUGAAUUCGGGAGAGGGAUGUGGAAUUCCAGGUGUAGCGGUGAAAUGCGUAGAUAUCUGGAGGAACACCGGUGGCGAAGGCGGCAUCCUGGACCGAUAUUGACGCUGAUGCGCGAAAGCCAGGGGAGCAAACGGGAUUAGAUACCCCGGUAGUCCUGGCCCUAAACGAUGAAUGCUUGGUGUGGCGGGUAUCGAUCCCUGCCGUGCCGAAGCUAACGCAUUAAGCAUUCCGCCUGGGGAGUACGGUCGCAAGGCUG